UUAUAUUCUGUAGCAAGGUUAACCGAAUAGGGGAGCCGCAGGGAAACCGAGUCUUAAUUGGGCGUUAAGUUGCAGGGUAUAGACCCGAAACCCGGUGAUCUAGCCAUGGGCAGGUUGAAGGUUGGGUAACACUAACUGGAGGACCGAACCGACUAAUGUUGAAAAAUUAGCGGAUGACCUGUGGCUGGGGGUGAAAGGCCAAUCAAACCGGGAGAUAGCUGGUUCUCCCCGAAAGCUAUUUAGGUAGCGCCUCGUGAAUUCAUCUCCGGGGGUAGAGCACUGUUUCGGCUAGGGGGCCAUCCCGGCUUACCAACCCGAUGCAAACUGCGAAUACCGGAGAAUGUUAUCACGGGAGACACACGGCGGGUGCUAACGUCCGUCGUGAAGAGGGAAACAACCCAGACCGCCAGCUAAGGUCCCAAAGUCAUGGUUAAGUGGGAAACGAUGUGGGAAGGCCCAGACAGCCAGGAUGUUGGCUUAGAAGCAGCCAUCAUUUAAAGAAAGCGUAAUAGCUCACUGGUCGAGUCGGCCUGCGCGGAAGAUGUAACGGGGCUAAACCAUGCACCGAAGCUGCGGCAGCGACGCUGAUGCGUUGUUGGGUAGGGGAGCGUUCUGUAAGCCUGUGAAGGUGUGUCGUGAGGCAUGCUGGAGGUAUCAGAAGUGCGAAUGCUGACAUAAGUAACGAUAAAGCGGGUGAAAAGCCCGCUCGCCGGAAGACCAAGGGUUCCUGUCCAACGUUAAUCGGGGCAGGGUGAGUCGACCCCUAAGGCGAGGCCGAAAGGCGUAGUCGAUGGGAAACGGGUUAAUAUUCCCGUACUUGGUGUUACUGCGAAGGGGGGACGGAGAAGGCUAUGUUGGCCGGGCGACGGUUGUCCCGGUUUAAGCGUGUAGGUGUGUGUUCCAGGUAAAUCCGGUUCACUUUAACACUGAGGCGUGAUGACGAGGCACUACGGUGCUGAAGCAACAAAUGCCCUGCUUCCAGGAAAAGCCUCUAAGCAUCAGGUAACAUCAAAUCGUACCCCAAACCGACACAGGUGGUCAGGUAGAGAAUACCAAGGCGCUUGAGAGAACUCGGGUGAAGGAACUAGGCAAAAUGGUGCCGUAACUUCGGGAGAAGGCACGCUGACACGUAGGUGAAGUGAUUUACUCACGGAGCUGAAGUCAGUCGAAGAUACCAGCUGGCUGCAACUGUUUAUUAAAAACACAGCACUGUGCAAACACGAAAGUGGACGUAUACGGUGUGACGCCUGCCCGGUGCCGGAAGGUUAAUUGAUGGGGUCAGCGCAAGCGAAGCUCCUGAUCGAAGCCCCGGUAAACGGCGGCCGUAACUAUAACGGUCCUAAGGUAGCGAAAUUCCUUGUCGGGUAAGUUCCGACCUGCACGAAUGGCGUAAUGAUGGCCAGGCUGUCUCCACCCGAGACUCAGUGAAAUUGAACUCGCUGUGAAGAUGCAGUGUACCCGCGGCAAGACGGAAAGACCCCGUGAACCUUUACUAUAGCUUGACACUGAACAUUGAGCCUUGAUGUGUAGGAUAGGUGGGAGGCUUUGAAGUGUGGACGCCAGUCUGCAUGGAGCCGACCUUGAAAUACCACCCUUUAAUGUUUGAUGUUCUAACGUGGACCCGUAAUCCGGGUUGCGGACAGUGUCUGGUGGGUAGUUUGACUGGGGCGGUCUCCUCCUAAAGAGUAACGGAGGAGCACGAAGGUUGGCUAAUCCUGGUCGGACAUCAGGAGGUUAGUGCAAUGGCAUAAGCCAGCUUGACUGCGAGCGUGACGGCGCGAGCAGGUGCGAAAGCAGGUCAUAGUGAUCCGGUGGUUCUGAAUGGAAGGGCCAUCGCUCAACGGAUAAAAGGUACUCCGGGGAUAACAGGCUGAUACCGCCCAAGAGUUCAUAUCGACGGCGGUGUUUGGCACCUCGAUGUCGGCUCAUCACAUCCUGGGGCUGAAGUAGGUCCCAAGGGUAUGGCUGUUCGCCAUUUAAAGUGGUACGCGAGCUGGGUUUAGAACGUCGUGAGACAGUUCGGUCCCUAUCUGCCGUGGGCGCUGGAGAACUGAGGGGGGCUGCUCCUAGUACGAGAGGACCGGAGUGGACGCAUCACUGGUGUU
This 2105-nucleotide ribosomal RNA is filed under the name Salmonella enterica. Its description in RNAcentral is "partial 23S ribosomal RNA". It matches the Rfam family "Bacterial large subunit ribosomal RNA", at positions 628 to 2716 of the family's 2925-position model. Lineage: Bacteria; Pseudomonadati; Pseudomonadota; Gammaproteobacteria; Enterobacterales; Enterobacteriaceae. The record is from RNAcentral.